This is a small nuclear RNA of Sarcophilus harrisii (Tasmanian devil), 101 nucleotides long. Lineage: Eukaryota; Metazoa; Chordata; Mammalia; Dasyuromorphia; Dasyuridae. The record is from Ensembl.
AGUCUUUUCCAGCUCUAACCACAGUUAGAAUAAUACAGAGAAGAUUAGAAUGGCUUUUAUGCAAGGAUGACAUGCAAAUUCUUGCAGUAUUCCCAAUGAAU